Molecule: ribosomal RNA, 550 nt
Filed under: uncultured bacterium
Lineage: Bacteria
Description: bacterial SSU rRNA
Rfam family: Bacterial small subunit ribosomal RNA
Source: RNAcentral
AAUAGAUACCCGGGUAGUCCACGCCGUAAACGUUGGGCGAUAGGUGUGGGGUCCGUUCCACGGGUUCCGUGCCGCAGCUAACGCAUUAAGCGCCCCGCCUGGGGAGUACGGCCGCAAGGCUAAAACUCAAAGGAAUUGACGGGGGCCCGCACAAGCGGCGGAGCAUGCGGAUUAAUUCGAUACAACGCGAAAAACCUUACCAAGGCUUGACAUGGGCGGUAAUCCGGUAGAGAUGUCGGGUCCGUAAGGGCCGUUCACAGGUGGUGCAUGGUUGUCGUCAGCUCGUGUCGUGAGAUGUUGGGUUAAGUCCCGCAACGAGCGCAACCCUUGUUCCAUGUUGCCAGCACUUCGGGUGGGGACUCAUGGGAGACUGCCGGGGUCAACUCGGAGGAAGGUGGGGAUGACGUCAAAUCAUCAUGCCCCUUAUGUCUUGGGCUUCACGCAUGCUACAAUGGCCAGUACAAAGGGCUGCGAGACCGUGAGGUGGAGCGAAUCCCAAAAGCUGGUCUCAGUUCGGAUCGGGGUCUGCAACUCGACCCCGUGAAGUCGG